AGUCACUGACAUUAGAUACCCGUGUAGUCCAGGGUGUAAACGCUGCGGGCUUGGUGUUGGGGGUCCUUUGAGGGCGCCCAGUGCCGGAGAGAAGUUGUUAAGCCUGCUGCUUGGGAGUACGUCCGCAAGGAUGAAACUUAAAGGAAUUGGCGGGGGAGCACCGCAACGGGAGGAGCGUGCGGUUCAAUUGGAUUCAACGCCGGACAACUCACCAGGAGCGACGGUUACAUGAAGGCCAGGCUGAUGACCUUGCCUGAUUUUCCG
Molecule: ribosomal RNA, 264 nt
Filed under: uncultured archaeon
Lineage: Archaea
Description: partial 16S ribosomal RNA
Rfam family: Archaeal small subunit ribosomal RNA
Source: RNAcentral